GAUGAACGCUGGCGGCGUGCUUAAUACAUGCAAGUCGAACGGAGAUUGUAGCAAUACAUUCUUAGUGGCGAACGGGUGAGUAACGCGUUGGUAACCUGCCCCGAAGAGAGGGAUAACAAUUCGAAAGAAUUGCUAAUACCCCAUGUGAUCCUCAGCAUUAGAUGGCUGAUGAUUAAACGGAUUUAUUCGCUUUGGGAGGGGCCUGCGUCCCAUCAGCUAGUUGGUAGGGUAAUGGCCUACCAAGGCUAUGACGGGUAGGGGACCUGAGAGGGUGACCCCCCACACUGGCACUGAAACACGGGCCAGACACCUACGGGUGGCAG
RNAcentral lists this ribosomal RNA (323 nucleotides) under uncultured Chloroflexota bacterium. RNAcentral describes it as "bacterial SSU rRNA". It matches the Rfam family "Bacterial small subunit ribosomal RNA", at positions 28 to 351 of the family's 1533-position model. The record is from RNAcentral. Lineage: Bacteria; Bacillati; Chloroflexota.